This 402-nucleotide ribosomal RNA is filed under the name uncultured bacterium. RNAcentral's name for it is "bacterial SSU rRNA". It matches the Rfam family "Bacterial small subunit ribosomal RNA", at positions 355 to 774 of the family's 1533-position model. The record is from RNAcentral.
UGGGGAAUCUUGCACAAUGGGGGCAACCCUGAUGCAGCGACGCCGCGUGAGCGAUGAAGCCCUUCGGGGCGUAAAGCUCUUUCGACCGGAACGAUAAUGACGGUACCGGGAGAAGAAGCUGCAGCUAACUACGUGCCAGCAGCCGCGGUAAUACGUAGGCAGCAAGCGUUGUUCGGAGUUACUGGGCGUAAAGAGUGCGUAGGCGGUUUUCUAAGUUCGGUGUGAAAUCUCCCGGCUUAACUGGGAGGGUGCGCCGAAGACUGGGAAGCUGGAGUGUGGGAAAGGCAGGCGGAAUUCCUGGUGUAGCGGUGAAAUGCGUAGAUAUCAGGAGGAACACCGGCGGUGUAGACGGCUUGCUAGACCAUAACUGACGCUGAGGCACGAAAGCGUGGGUAGCAAACA